RNAcentral lists this ribosomal RNA (497 nucleotides) under uncultured bacterium. RNAcentral's name for it is "partial 16S ribosomal RNA". It matches the Rfam family "Bacterial small subunit ribosomal RNA", at positions 28 to 507 of the family's 1533-position model. The record is from RNAcentral.
GAUGAACGCUGGCGGCGUGCCUAAUACAUGCAAGUCGAGCGAACGGACGAGAAGCUUGCUUCUCUGAUGUUAGCGGCGGACGGGUGAGUAACACGUGGAUAACCUACCUAUAAGACUGGGAUAACUUCGGGAAACCGUAGCUAAUACCGGAUAAUAUUUUGAACCGCAUGGUUCAAAAGUGAAAGACGGUCUUGCUGUCACUUAUAGAUGGAUCCGCGCUGCAUUAGCUAGUUGGUAAGGUAACGGCUUACCAAGGCAACGAUGCAUAGCCGACCUGAGAGGGUGAUGGGCCACACUGGAACUGAGACACGGUACAGACUCCUACGGGAGGCAGCAGUAGGGAAUCUUCCGCAAUGGGCGAAAGCCUGACGGAGCAACGCCGCGUGAGUGAUGAAGGUCUUCGGAUCGUAAAACUCUGUUAUUAGGGAAGAACAUAUGUGUAAGUAACUGUGCACAUCUUGACGGUACCUAAUCAGAAAGCCACGGCUAACUACGUG